This 253-nucleotide ribosomal RNA is filed under the name uncultured bacterium. Its description in RNAcentral is "partial 16S ribosomal RNA". It matches the Rfam family "Bacterial small subunit ribosomal RNA", at positions 524 to 776 of the family's 1533-position model. The record is from RNAcentral.
UACGGGGGGGGCAAGCGUUGUUCGGAAUUACUGGGCGUAAAGGGCUCGUAGGCGGCCAACUAAGUCAGACGUGAAAUCCCUCAGCUUAACCGGGGAACUGCGUCUGAUACUGGAUGGCUUGAGUUCGGGAGAGGGAUGCGGAAUUCCAGGUGUAGCGGUGAAAUGCGCAGAUAUCAGGAGGAACACCGGUGGCGAAGGCGGGUCUCUGGGCCGAUACUGACGCUGAGGAGCGAAAGCGUGGGGAGCGAACAGG